UACGUAGGGUGCGAGCGUUAAUCGGAAUUACUGGGCGUAAAGUGUGCGCAGGUGGCCGCGCAAGUCGAGUGUGAAAUCCCCGAGCUUAACUUGGGAAUUGCGCUCGAAACUACGUGGCUCGAGUGUGGCAGAGGAAGGUGGAAUUCCACGUGUAGCGGUGAAAUGCGUAGAGAUGUGGAGGAACACCGAUGGCGAAGGCAGCCCCCUGGGCUAACACUGACGCUCAUGCACGAAAGCGUGGGGAGCAAACAGG
RNAcentral lists this ribosomal RNA (253 nucleotides) under uncultured bacterium. RNAcentral describes it as "partial 16S ribosomal RNA". It matches the Rfam family "Bacterial small subunit ribosomal RNA", at positions 524 to 776 of the family's 1533-position model. The record is from RNAcentral.